Molecule: ribosomal RNA, 1345 nt
Filed under: uncultured bacterium
Lineage: Bacteria
Description: partial 16S ribosomal RNA
Rfam family: Bacterial small subunit ribosomal RNA
Source: RNAcentral
GACGAACGCUGGCGGCGUGCUUACACAUGCAAGUCGAACGGAAAGGCCCUGCUUUUGUGGGGUGCUCGAGUGGCGAACGGGUGAAUAACACGUGAGUAACCUGCCCUUGACUUUGGGAUAACUUCAGGAAACUGGGGCUAAUACCGGAUAGGAGCUCCUGCUGCAUGGUGGGGGUUGGAAAGUUUCGGCGGUUGGGGAUGGACUCGCGGCUUAUCAGCUUGUUGGUGGGGUAGUGGCUUACCAAGGCUUUGACGGGUAGCCGGCCUGAGAGGGUGACCGGCCACAUUGGGACUGAGAUACGGCCCAGACUCCUACGGGAGGCAGCAGUGGGGAAUAUUGCACAAUGGGCGGAAGCCUGAUGCAGCAACGCCGCGUGCGGGAUGACGGCCUUCGGGUUGUAAACCGCUUUCGCCUGUGACGAAGCGUGAGUGACGGUAAUGGGUAAAGAAGCACCGGCUAACUACGUGCCAGCAGCCGCGGUGAUACGUAGGGUGCGAGCGUUGUCCGGAUUUAUUGGGCGUAAAGGGCUCGUAGGUGGUUGAUCGCGUCGGAAGUGUAAUCUUGGGGCUUAACCCUGAGCGUGCUUUCGAUACGGGUUGACUUGAGGAAGGUAGGGGAGAAUGGAAUUCCUGGUGGAGCGGUGGAAUGCGCAGAUAUCAGGAGGAACACCAGUGGCGAAGGCGGUUCUCUGGGCCUUUCCUGACGCUGAGGAGCGAAAGCGUGGGGAGCGAACAGGCUUAGAUACCCUGGUAGUCCACGCUGUAAACGGUGGGUACUAGGUGUGGGGUCCAUUCCACGGGUUCCGUGCCGUAGCUAACGCUUUAAGUACCCCGCCUGGGGAGUACGGCCGCAAGGCUAAAACUCAAAGGAAUUGACGGGGCCCCGCACAAGCGGCGGAGCAUGCGGAUUAAUUCGAUGCAACGCGUAGAACCUUACCUGGGUUUGACAUGGAUCGGGAGUGCUCAGAGAUGGGUGUGCCUCUUUUGGGGUCGGUUCACAGGUGGUGCAUGCCUGUCGUCAGCUCGUGUCGUGAGAUGUUGGGUUAAGUCCCGCAACGAGCGCAACCCUUGUUCACUGUUGCCAGCACGUUAUGGUGGGGACUCAGUGGAGACCGCCGGGGUCAACUCGGAGGAAGGUGGGGAUGACGUCAAGUCAUCAUGCCCCUUAUGUCCAGGGCUUCACGCAUGCUACAAUGGCUGGUACAGAGAGUGGCGAGCCUGUGAGGGUGAGCGAAUCUCGGAAAGCCGGUCUCAGUUCGGAUUGGGGUCUGCAACUCGACCUCAUGAAGUCGGAGUCGCUAGUAAUCGCAGAUCAGCAACGCUGCGGUGAAUACGUUCCCGGGGCU